CACUGAAGGACCACAUGCACACCCACACAGGCGAGUGGCCAUAUCAGUGCCCUUCAUGCCCCCGGGCAUUUAAGCAGAAACAGUGCUUCAAAAGGCACGUGCGUCAGCAUGCACUACAGUGACCAUUUAAGUGUAAGUUCUGCUGUCAGAGCUUCUCAAGAUGAAGCUUUUUAUGGCUAAGCGAAAGGUAAAUCCGGCAGUCCUCUGCACACAGGAAACUCCUGUCGCGUAUGUGCCAGGAAAAUUAGGCAAGCCCCACUACUUGCCACUGGUCCACUAAAAAUGAAGAGAUCAUCUGCGGGCAAAACCGUAUGCGCCACAGAAAUUGGGCGAAUCACACUACUCAUCGCUAAAGAUGAAGAGAAUGUACAUGCAACACACACCAAUUAAUAUUUAUGGACAGUCUUUAAUUGAGAAAGACCUUAUUGAUUGAUCGGGAUCAAGCCAGUGAUAAACACCGGGGCAGCAUGGUUCACCUUCACUGGUUAACUGUACUGAGUGCUUGGGUGUCGAUUUUUUUUUUUUUUGUAAUUUCACAUUUGACUUAGUUCCGGAGCACUGUUACUGUGCCAAGCUACGUAGGAUAAUGACCCUUUCAUUAGUUUCACUAGAGAAUCAUUAUACAUGCGGUAAAAUGUAGUCACAACAUUUCAUUCCUCUUCAUGAUUCUUUAGAGUGUUCUUUGCUGACCAGAUGAACGUUUGCUAUGUCAUAAGUUUAAAACUGGUACUGGUGUGUGACCACAGCUUUACAUUGUCAACUCCAAACUCUUUUUGCAAGCCUCUCAUUUGAACACACAUAAAGGUAUUACUUUUAUACCAGUAGAUGACUAAUUCUGUGGGUGUGCCUUUUGCAGUAAGAGUCUCAAUCGGGUGUCUUCAUAUGCAUGCCUCAUGCGUCAUGGCAUUCUCAUGAACUGGAAAGCGUUAAAUCAUGUACAGUAGAACCUUAUUAUAACAAACACUGAUAUAGUGAAAUAUCGGUUAUAGUGAAUUAAAUACGAGCUUUAGUUGGUCACACCUCAUUUCAGUGAGAUUUAUUUUUAUAAAAUAAAACCAAAAAUGCGAGAGGCGCCGCAGUAUAGGCUGCAGCAAACAAACAUUUGGUUCACACAAGGCUCGAUACCUGAAAGGUAGCACCAAGACAAAAAUAAAUAUUGAAACACAACCAUAUUUUUAUAAUUGUUGGAAAAACUUGCAGAAAUUUUGGUCAUACAGCGGAAAAAAAAAGUGCAUUCGACAGCUUGCACCAACGUGUGAACCAAUUAUAGUCUGUUUCAAGCCUAAAAUAAUGCGUUAUUGUAUGUAGCAUUUUUACAUUAGCCAGAUUGCCAAUUUGUUGUAGCCAAUUUUUAUCUCCUUGGUUAGAAGGAGUAUCUCGUAUAACGAACUAACUUAUUGUUGCGAUGCUAUUUCGUUAUGACGAGGUUUGAUCGUACGAAUUAAUAUAAGGGCUGUGCAUGCAAAAUCUCAUAAUUCAUGUAGUGGUUCACGUAAAGUAGAAGUGCGAUAAUAUCCUGUAACGCCCUGCACUCGGCAUGCUGCGGGAUCUCAAAGAAAAGUUUUCAAGAGAGCAUGCCGCCAUCACGCACCUGCAGAGUGUAGGAGGAGGAAAUGGAGAGUAGUGCGCUGCAUGAAUGUAUGAAAGCUAUAAGCGCAGUUGCGUAGGGGAGCGAGAAGACAAACACAUGCUUUUGCGCAUGAAGCUGAAGCUAAGGAUCCAUCACCUUCGAACUGUCUCUACCCACAACAACAACAGGCAUAAGACGCAGCGCCGGGACUCUACCUUGCAAGUAAUCAUUGGUGGUUCCGAAGAAUACGCAAGCUAGGAUUAAGAUAUCUGGCCACUUCAUGUGCGCUUUCUUCGCAGCGCGCCUGAUGGUGGUGCUUGCGACGUCGCAGAGCAGCGAGUGGCGAUGCUGUCUGUUUGCUCGAUUCUCUUUGCAUUGUUCCUCAUGGCUGCAUUGUGAAAGCUUUUGUUUGCAUUCGUUGAGUGACAUGCCUGUUUGCUCUUGCACGCGUAACACCGCUUGUUAAUUUAUUAGUACGGAUACUUCUACUGCCCUGUAUUUGGCCGCUAAAACUAGAAGCCUCGCUUUGUAUGUAGCAUUCUAAUGAGUGGCUAUGUUUAUCAGCUCUUGCUUCGCCUUUCGAUUAGAGUUAUGACUUCUUGUGCACUCUUGUGUGUUGAACAUUAAGCUGGCUUCACAGGAUGAUUUAUCAAAACCUAACAAGUUGUUCCAUUGUAUUAGGGCUUAGGUGUUACGGGCCACGUUGAACGCUGCAUGGUCUUUUCUUUUGACAGUGACAUUACGGCAAGUCAUUGUGUCUGUGGUUAUGAGAUAUUAUUUUGUACGGGUAUUACAUUUGAGAUCACUCAUUCACUAAGUUCACUUUCUGAGGAAUUACAUGUGUCUUCGGUCAAUACCAACUGUUAGAUAUCUCACUAGCACAUUUAUUGACUGCUGUCUGUAUAACAUUCUUGAAAAUUGGGUAUUUACAUGUCCACUAGAAAAGCUUAUUGUAUGUGGUUGUAUGUGAAACGUUAAGAGGUUGUCUUUUUCACUUUUGGCUUACACUUGUAUUGUGACUAUGUUUUGUACUUGUAGGCUUUUCUGCAGCUCUUUUUCUUUAUUGCCUAUUUUUAUUAUGCUUUAUAUUUCUUGUAUUCCUCCUGCAUGUAAUCAUUUUGUUGCAUCCGUUUAGCAUUUAACCAUUUGUCACUUGUAUGUUUUUCUAAGCCCAAUAAAUUACUCUGUUCUGUUAUUAUUAUUCA
Molecule: long non-coding RNA, 2775 nt
Organism: Rhipicephalus sanguineus (brown dog tick)
Lineage: Eukaryota; Metazoa; Arthropoda; Arachnida; Ixodida; Ixodidae
Exons: 2
Source: RefSeq, a predicted model, not a curated record